This 328-nucleotide unclassified non-coding RNA is filed under the name soil metagenome. Its description in RNAcentral is "partial contains 5.8S ribosomal RNA, internal transcribed spacer 2, and large subunit ribosomal RNA". The stretch from base 1 to 120 matches the Rfam family "5.8S ribosomal RNA", at positions 35 to 154 of the family's 154-position model. The record is from RNAcentral.
GAUGAAGAACGUAGCGAAAUGCGAUAAGUAAUGUGAAUUGCAGAAUUCAGUGAAUCAUCGAAUCUUUGAACGCACAUUGCGCCCCCUGGUAUUCCGGGGGGCAUGCCUGUCCGAGCGUCAUUACAACCCUCAAGCUCAGCUUGGUGUUGGGCCCCGCCGCCCCGGCGGGCCCUAAAGUCAGUGGCGGUGCCGUCCGGCUCCGAGCGUAGUAAUUCUUCUCGCUCUGGAGGUCCGGUCGCGUGCUCGCCAGCAACCCCCAAUUUUUUCAGGUUGACCUCGGAUCAGGUAGGGAUACCCGCUGAACUUAAGCAUAUCAAUAAGCGGAGGA